CACACGCCCUUUCUCCGCUCGCUCUGCACUGAUGGGUAGACACGCAGACGCAUCUACCUCAAGCAACACGUUUGUUCAAGUGCUCUGAUUGCACCCACAAUCGACCUUUCAAUGUCAACGAGAAAAGACAAGCCGAGUGACGUUUCGACGACAGACACUGGUGACACGGAAAAGAGAGUAACUAAAACACCCAAAAAUUUCAAGCA
Molecule: non-coding RNA, 206 nt
Filed under: Ctenophora environmental sample
Lineage: Eukaryota; Metazoa; Ctenophora
Source: RNAcentral